Molecule: non-coding RNA, 73 nt
Organism: Perognathus longimembris pacificus (Pacific pocket mouse)
Lineage: Eukaryota; Metazoa; Chordata; Mammalia; Rodentia; Heteromyidae
Source: the annotation of a RefSeq genome assembly
GUUUCUGUAGUAUAGUGGUUAUCACGUUUGCCUCACACGCGAGUGGUCCCCGGUUCGAUCCCGGGCGGGAACA